Molecule: ribosomal RNA, 503 nt
Filed under: Salmonella enterica subsp. enterica serovar Stanley
Lineage: Bacteria; Pseudomonadati; Pseudomonadota; Gammaproteobacteria; Enterobacterales; Enterobacteriaceae
Description: partial 23S ribosomal RNA
Rfam family: Bacterial large subunit ribosomal RNA
Source: RNAcentral
UGGACCCGUGAUCCGGGUUGCGGACAGUGUCUGGUGGGUAGUUUGACUGGGGCGGUCUCCUCCUAAAGAGUAACGGAGGAGCACGAAGGUUGGCUAAUCCUGGUCGGACAUCAGGAGGUUAGUGCAAUGGCAUAAGCCAGCUUGACUGCGAGCGUGACGGCGCGAGCAGGUGCGAAAGCAGGUCAUAGUGAUCCGGUGGUUCUGAAUGGAAGGGCCAUCGCUCAACGGAUAAAAGGUACUCCGGGGAUAACAGGCUGAUACCGCCCAAGAGUUCAUAUCGACGGCGGUGUUUGGCACCUCGAUGUCGGCUCAUCACAUCCUGGGGCUGAAGUAGGUCCCAAGGGUAUGGCUGUUCGCCAUUUAAAGUGGUACGCGAGCUGGGUUUAGAACGUCGUGAGACAGUUCGGUCCCUAUCUGCCGUGGGCGCUGGAGAACUGAGGGGGGCUGCUCCUAGUACGAGAGGACCGGAGUGGACGCAUCACUGGUGUUCGGGUUGUCAUGCC